UGAGUAAAUCAGAUGGUCGCAGGCAUAAAUUCCGAAAGGAAGUGCUUGAGGAACGUCCGAGCUCCAUAGAGCAGGAUGCUGGAUAACGUCCAGUAGAGGCGACUCUAAGGAAAGUGCAACAGAAAUAAACCGCCUAUAAAUUUUAUAGGUAAGGGUGGAAAGGUGAAGUAAGAGAUCACCGCAUCUUAGGUGACUAAGAUGGCAAUGCAAACCCCAUUUGGAGCAAGACCGUAUAGGGAAUAUAUAAGUAGUUGCUCGCUACAUUCCCGUGGUAGGUCGCUGGAGCAUAUAGGUAACUAUAUGCCAAGAUAGAUGACUGUCAAAUACAGAACUCGGCGUAUAGAUUUGCUCACAUU
RNAcentral lists this RNase P RNA (356 nucleotides) under Candidatus Epulonipiscium sp. RNAcentral's name for it is "RNase P RNA component class A". It matches the Rfam family "Bacterial RNase P class A". Rfam says of the family: Ribonuclease P (RNase P) is a ubiquitous endoribonuclease, found in archaea, bacteria and eukarya as well as chloroplasts and mitochondria. Its best characterised activity is the generation of mature 5'-ends of tRNAs by cleaving the 5'-leader elements of precursor-tRNAs. Lineage: Bacteria; Bacillati; Bacillota; Clostridia; Lachnospirales; Lachnospiraceae. The record is from RNAcentral.